Molecule: small nucleolar RNA, 107 nt
Organism: Magnolia sinica
Lineage: Eukaryota; Viridiplantae; Streptophyta; Magnoliopsida; Magnoliales; Magnoliaceae
Source: RefSeq, a predicted model, not a curated record
UAACUAUCAUGUGGGCAAGCACUUAAGAGGUCCUUAAACCUCUCCCAGCAUUGAAAGAAGAUUUCUUCCUCUUUCUGCAAGAAAUUCAUAAUGGCCCUUCUAAGGGA